GGGAUCUUCACCACCUUUCCUGUCACUCCCACCCUCGGAGGAUAAACCAAUCGAGACGACCACACCUAAUGAAGUCCUCGAUCUCAUCCCAAAGUUGAAUGCACUCUUCUGUGUCAUGGCCGUGGUCGCGAUGAUACAACAAUACUUGGUCGGAUCCCUCUUUUACGGGAGUGUCUGAAGCUUCCUUGGUUCUGGGAGCUAUCCC
Molecule: long non-coding RNA, 205 nt
Filed under: Elaeis guineensis (African oil palm)
Lineage: Eukaryota; Viridiplantae; Streptophyta; Magnoliopsida; Arecales; Arecaceae
Description: long non-coding RNA (EGUI_LNC017062)
Source: RNAcentral